RNAcentral lists this ribosomal RNA (436 nucleotides) under Klebsiella pneumoniae. RNAcentral's name for it is "bacterial SSU rRNA". It matches the Rfam family "Bacterial small subunit ribosomal RNA", at positions 42 to 471 of the family's 1533-position model. The record is from RNAcentral. Lineage: Bacteria; Pseudomonadati; Pseudomonadota; Gammaproteobacteria; Enterobacterales; Enterobacteriaceae.
GCAGGCCCUACCAAUUGCAAGUUCGAGCGGUAGCACAGAGAGCUUGCUCUCGGGUGACGAGCGGCGGACGGGUGAGUAAUGUCUGGGAAACUGCCUGAUGGAGGGGGAUAACUACUGGAAACGGUAGCUAAUACCGCAUAACGUCGCAAGACCAAAGUGGGGGACCUUCGGGCCUCAUGCCAUCAGAUGUGCCCAGAUGGGAUUAGCUAGUAGGUGGGGUAACGGCUCACCUAGGCGACGAUCCCUAGCUGGUCUGAGAGGAUGACCAGCCACACUGGAACUGAGACACGGUCCAGACUCCUACGGGAGGCAGCAGUGGGGAAUAUUGCACAAUGGGCGCAAGCCUGAUGAUGCAGCCAUGCCGCGUGUGUGAAGAAGGCCUUCGGGUUGUAAAGCACUUUCAGCGGGGAGGAAGGCGAUGAGGUUAAUAACCUUG